This 827-nucleotide ribosomal RNA is filed under the name Bacillus sp. (in: firmicutes). RNAcentral describes it as "bacterial SSU rRNA". It matches the Rfam family "Bacterial small subunit ribosomal RNA", at positions 21 to 830 of the family's 1533-position model. Lineage: Bacteria; Bacillati; Bacillota; Bacilli; Caryophanales; Bacillaceae. The record is from RNAcentral.
GGCUCAGGACGAACGCUGGCGGCGUGCCUAAUACAUGCAAGUCGAGCGGACAGAUGGGAGCUUGCUCCCUGAUGUUAGCGGCGGACGGGUGAGUAACACGUGGGUAACCUGCCUGUAAGACUGGGAUAACUCCGGGAAACCGGGGCUAAUACCGGAUGGUUGUUUGAACCGCAUGGUUCAAACAUAAAAGGUGGCUUCGGCUACCACUUACAGAUGGACCCGCGGCGCAUUAGCUAGUUGGUGAGGUAACGGCUCACCAAGGCAACGAUGCGUAGCCGACCUGAGAGGGUGAUCGGCCACACUGGGACUGAGACACGGCCCAGACUCCUACGGGAGGCAGCAGUAGGGAAUCUUCCGCAAUGGACGAAAGUCUGACGGAGCAACGCCGCGUGAGUGAUGAAGGUUUUCGGAUCGUAAAGCUCUGUUGUUAGGGAAGAACAAGUACCGUUCGAAUAGGGCGGUACCUUGACGGUACCUAACCAGAAAGCCACGGCUAACUACGUGCCAGCAGCCGCGGUAAUACGUAGGUGGCAAGCGUUGUCCGGAAUUAUUGGGCGUAAAGGGCUCGCAGGCGGUUUCUUAAGUCUGAUGUGAAAGCCCCCGGCUCAACCGGGGAGGGUCAUUGGAAACUGGGGAACUUGAGUGCAGAAGAGGAGAGUGGAAUUCCACGUGUAGCGGUGAAAUGCGUAGAGAUGUGGAGGAACACCAGUGGCGAAGGCGACUCUCUGGUCUGUAACUGACGCUGAGGAGCGAAAGCGUGGGGAGCGAACAGGAUUAGAUACCCUGGUAGUCCACGCCGUAAACGAUGAGUGCUAAGUGUUAGGGGG